AAUCAACGCUGGCGGCGUGCCUCAGACAUGCAAGUCGAACGCGAAAGUUUCCUUCGGGAAGCAAGUAGAGUGGCGUCCGGGUGAGUAACACGUAGGUAAUCUACCUUUGGGUGGGGAAUAACAACCGGAAACGGUUGCUAAUACCGCAUAAUGCAGCGGCAUCACAUGAUGACAGUUGUUAACGCGGGGAGUCGCAAGACCUCGCGCCUAAAGAGGAGCCUGCGGCGGAUUAGCUAGUUGGUAGGGUAACGGCCUACCAAGGCAACGAUCCGUAGCCGGCCUGAGAGGGCGGUCGGCCACACUGACACUGAAAUACGGGUCAGACUCCUACGGGAGGCAGCAGUGGGGGAAUCUUG
RNAcentral lists this ribosomal RNA (356 nucleotides) under uncultured bacterium. RNAcentral describes it as "bacterial SSU rRNA". It matches the Rfam family "Bacterial small subunit ribosomal RNA", at positions 32 to 367 of the family's 1533-position model. The record is from RNAcentral.